Long non-coding RNA from Asparagus officinalis (garden asparagus), 5683 nucleotides. RefSeq lists it as uncharacterized. The transcript has 2 exons. NCBI's taxonomy places the organism in Eukaryota, Viridiplantae, Streptophyta, Magnoliopsida, Asparagales, Asparagaceae. The record is from RefSeq and is a predicted model, not a curated record.
UGGGGGCCCCCAAAAACCCUAAACCCAACCCUUUUGAUAAAACCCCGAAAAUCAGCUCCUCUCUUGAGUCUCCUCAAGCUCCGAUCUCCAUCUCGAUCUCUCCAAAAAAACCCUAACCCUAACCCUAGAUUUCACCCAAUCACCGGCCUCUCCUCCUCCUCGUUCGGACCCAAACCGAUCUCGAUCCACGCCGCCUUCUCCCAAAUUUCGACCUCCAACCCGAACCCCAGCCCGAAUCCGAGCCUGAUAUUGAGCUGGAAACUGAGAACAAGGCUUGGCUGGAAUCGGAUCUGAAAGCCGAUAAGGGGGAGCUUGAUGUCGUCGAGGUGUCGAAGUUGAAGGGCACGGAGGCUCGCCGGUGGUUUGCGAGGCGGCUUAUGUUGCUGGAGUGGAUGAUUGAUGCUCCUCCUAACCUUGAUUCUGAUUGCUUCGGAAAUGAGGAACAAAGUUAGGGCAUAGUAUCAACAUCGUUUUGGAAGAUGGUCGUUUGGCUCAAGCACCAACAAGGAGUAAGCAACAAAUUGCCAAGCCUGCAAGUCUAAUGCCCAAUAGACGUGGACUGAAGAAUCCUUCCGCUCGAAAUAUUCAAUCGCAGACCCAAGCGGAGGUAUGUUUCAACAAACUGAGAAGUAUUUUAGUUUAGAUUUUUACACAUUGUUUGGAGCCACUUGUCUAGUGUCUACCCAUCUUUCUUAAUUUCUAUUGGAAACAGAGUCCUGACAGGAUUUAAGUAUCUUACUGGCUUGUUUCAUUUAUGUGGAAAUGUUAAUACCUGAAUUACAAACAAGGAUUAUUAACACAGCAUAGUGAUUGUUUAUACAUGUUGCUUUAGCUGAGCUUUCUCAUUUACAUUGUAUUACAGAAGAUAUCUCAUAUUUCUAUGUUGGUCAUUCUUAAUUUGGAUAAAUUACUUCUUAAUGUCUGAUCAAUAACAUUUUGUUCCCUAGCAUUUUAGGAAUUCAAAUUGGAAUUUAUUGAUAUUUUGUAUAUAGAGAAGGGCCUUGUGUUUACUUUUCGCACAGGGCCCCUAAAAUCUCAGAACCGGCCCUGCCUGUUGGUCCCAUAUUUUGGGUCCCUGUAACAAAGCUCGGGACAUGACUAAUCUUAAUGGGCUUUAAUAAUUUAAAUCAUUUAAUAAUACAAUAUAGGCAUAUAGUGUUUUCAUGUUUCAUCUUCCGCUAUUAGUUUUAAAGUAUUAUCUUUAAAUUAUUGUCAUUCCGAUAAGGAAAAGCUAAUAGUUCAUAUAAGGUUAUAAGAAGAAAGGACCCAAAAAUAAAAAAUAAAAGGAGAUAGAGAGAGAAAAUGGGAAAAAAGGAUUGCAUGAGAUGUCAACAAAUUUGUAUCUUCAAAAAUAAAAUAAAAUAAACACACACACAUCACUAUUUUUUUACCGUAACCAUUAAUUAUAUAGUCGGCGAUUAUGAUCCAUUAUAAAUCCAACACUUAUCAUAUCCUAAGAAUUAUAAUUAUUCUUGAUUUGCACUCGAAGAAAAAUCUUAUCUACAUAAUACAAAAUCAAUGAUUAAGAUAUUACAGUGUUUCCGCUAUUAUGUUUUUUUUAGUGAAGGGUCUAAAUCCAAUGAGAACUUGAGCCGCAUGAAAAGUCAUCAUCAUUGUUUGUGAGUUUAUGGACUUACAAACAAAAGCAUAAUCCUGAGCAAUUCAAAUGAAAACUGGAAAGACUAGAUCAGAUGAAUACACAAGAAUUAUAGUGCUUAAUAAUUAGAAAUUAAGGAUACAUAAUGAUCUUUUGAACCAAGGCCCAAAGUCCCAAUCACUAGGCCAGUUGAACAAUAGAAGUGUUGCUUAGCUGGUUCUGAGCCAAGGUUUCAGGGGGAAAAGGCUUACUAGGAAAAUAAUGUGCUUGUUAGGCUAAAUAUUAGAAGCCCCGUUAAAUUUGGAUGAUAAACCCCUCGUAACUUUUAAAAUAUUUGAAAAACCCUUUGAGUUUAUGGGUUACUAGAAAACCCACUUUAGCUUUAAAACUUUAAUAAUAAACCCCUUAAAAUUGUGAACAAUAAUUUUCACUGAGAAAAAUAUCCUUUAUAAUUUUGUUCAAACACCAAAAUCCAAUUUAGUCCAUUUUGGACGAAUAGUGAUCGUGAGCAUAACGAUCACUUGAACAUGCUUUAUUAUAUAUAGGAAAAUGUUAGGAAUUUUAUGGAGAUUAAUAUGCGGAAUUAAACACUAAAUAAAUAAUGGCACCAAUAAAAAUACCACACGCAAGCAAACACCAAGAUUUAACGUAAUUCGACAAAUCGUGCCUAUGUCUAUGGGGCAAUCCAGUGAGUAAUAUUUCACUAUCAGUCGAGAGUAUAAUCCCUCAAAGUUACACCCGAACUUGAGGGUCGAAUCACAAAGAAAAAAUACGUUACCUCUAGGACCCUAAAAUCCGUCUCACCACAAAUUUCUAACUCUUGUGGAGAAAUUGACACCGUACCCUCGACGACGUCGUUGUUCUGAAGACAAUGACUUUUGAAUCACUGUAAACGGACAACCGAGCUAUUCAGAAUCUUAACUUUUUUCUCUCUCUCCCCCCUCUCUCUCUCUUCGAAAUCCACACAGCGCUCGAUAAACUCUCGUGUAACUGUAGCUACAGGAAAACUGAUCUCAGGGUGAUGCUCUUCCCGUGCCCAAUUCCUUUAAUAAAGAAAAUUUAUCCCUAGGUCCUCCUUUCCUAUUCAAAUUAUGAAUAGGUCCAUAUUAAUCAUUUUCUUAGUAGGAUUCAAGAAAUUUGGUCUAGUCCUUGUGGGCCCCAAUUAGGCUGGAGCCACAACAAUCUCUCCCUUCAGCCCAACGAGGUGGAUGUCAAUGCCGGCCAAUCACCGACAUAACUCGGUCUUCUCUCUGGAAACGAUCUUCGUUAAAAAAUCUGCUUGAUUUUUAUCCGUGUGAAUCUUCUGAAGCUUCAGCUCCUCUUUCUCAAUAGUUUCUCUAAGCCAAUGAUAUCUCACAUCAAUAUGUUUUGUCUUGGAAUAGAAUGUAGAAUUCUUGCUCAAAUCAAGAGCACUUUGACUAUCAUUGAAAACUUGAUAAUUGUCAUGCUGCAAGUCUAACUCCUGCAAAAAUCUUCUCAACCAAACCAUCUCCUUAUCGGCUUCUGCAACUGCAAUAUACUUCGCCUCUGCUGUAGAUAAAGUAACACACUUCUGUAACCUGAACUACCAAGAUACAUCUCCCCUUGCAAAAGUGAACAACCAACAUAAGGUAGAUUUUCUGUGAUCGAGAUCAUCUGUCAUAUCUACAUCUGCAAAACCAUAUCAUAUUGCCUUCGAAUGUCAAAAACUCAAACAUAAUCUCGAACUGUCUUUCAAACAUUUUAAGAUCCACUUUACACAUUCACAAUGAACUUUUCCUGGAUUAGAAGGAAAUCUGCUCAUAACUCAAACUGCAUGAGCUAUAUCUGGUCGAGUGCAAACCAUGACAUACAUCAAACUCUCUACAGCUGAAAAGUAAGGAAUAUUCACCAUCUCACUCUUUCCUCAUCUGUAGUCAGGGCAAAACUUAUUGGCUAAGCUUUAAAUGACCUGCAAGAGGAGUACUGACUGACUUGACAUCUUUUAUAUAUGUUGAAUCUAUCAAGCAAUCCAUUCGUUGGGUGAUCCAUUGCUCUCACGCGUUCAACAUAUUUCUCUUGUGAUAACCACAACUUUCUGGCUUUCCUGUCACGAGCAAUAUUCAUACCAAGAAUCCGCUGUGCCGAUCCUAAAUCCUUCAUGUCAAAGGAUUUAAAUAACUCCUUCUUCAGCGCAAUGAUCAUCUGACUGUCCUAACCAACAAUCAACAUAUCAUCCACAUAAACCAAAAGGAUAAUGAAGCUAGAAUCUAAAAGUCUCCUGAAAUACACACACGAAUCUGUAACUGUCCUCUGAUAGCCAUGACUCAACAUGAAAGAAUCAAAUUUCUUGUACCAUUGCUUGGGUGCGUGCUUCAAGCCAGUCUGAAACAGUGAGCAAAUUAAGAGCAAGAUUAAUUGGUUAACCUAGAACUUAUUACGAUAAACUUUGAUGUAAUAAGAAAGAUGUCAACCAUUAUUGAGGUUUGAGAGUUAGGUUACAUACCUUCUAGCUGGCUGGAUCUAGAUACGAUACAAAUACAAGGGUGGUUGGUAAGGAGAUUCCAUAGUGCAUAUAUGUCAAAAUCGACUAUGGAUACUGAUCAAUUGAAAUAACAACAUAUAAAGAUAAAAUGUAGAGAUGAGGAUAACAUAUAAGAUUAGAAAAAUAUAUAUAUCAUGCUAGACAAAAACCUACUUAAAUGUAACAAAAUUUCUCAAAUCAGAGUCCAAGCACAUUUUUGACAUAUAAAAAAAAACUAUGGUGGAUCACAAAAAUGGAUCUCACAUCCACUAAUCUAAGGUGAAAAUGAACGAAUAUUGAAAUUGUUCAAUCAAUACAUAAUCUGAUUAUUUGGACACGGGUUAAGAUACUCACUUACAUUCAUAAUAUCUGUAUCUGUAUCCCAUCAGAACGAGAGUAUUCUACAUACAACAUUAUACUAAUUCAGAAUACGUGUAUGUAUAAAUUGUACAAAUUCUCCUUUUCCCUUAGGAGCUCUAUAGCUUUUUGAGUGAUCAUGUUACAAUUAAGAUCUGGUACUACUACUUGAGAGAUGAACAUUCUAAUGCAACAAAGAAGAAGGUCCUCAAACAUUUCUCAAAGUAACAUAUGAGAAACAAGGGAAGCAUGCCCUUCAUAUCAAAUGUACCCAAAAAUCUUCCACUUAGAAACUGUUUACAUACAAAAAUUUACCCCAAUUCAACUAGUAAGAUACAAAUACAAGGGUGGUUGGUAAGGAGAUUACAUUGUGCAUAUAUGUCAAAAUCGACUAUGGAUACUGAUCAAUUGAAAUAACAACAUAUAAAGAUAAAUGUAGAGAUGAGGAUAACAUAUAAGAUUAGAAAAAUAUAUAUAUCAUGCUAGACAAAAACCUACUUAAAUGUAACAAAAUUUCUCAAAUCAGAGUCCAAGCACAUUUUUGACAUAUAAAAAAAAACUAUGGUGGAUCACAAAAAUGGAUCUCACAUCCACUAAUCUAAGGUGAAAAUGAACGAAUAUUGAAAUUGUUCAAUCAAUACAUAAUCUGAUUAUUUGGACACGGGUUGAGAUACUCACUUACAUUCAUAAUAUCCGUAUCUGUAUCCCAUUGGAACGAGAGUAUUCUACAUACAACAUUAUACUAAUUCAUAAUACUUGUAUGUAUAAAUUGUACAAAUUCUCUUUUUUCCUUAGGAGCUCUAUAGCUUUUUGAGUGAUCAUGUUACAAUUAAGAUCUGGUACUACUACUUGAGAGAUGAACCUUCUAAUGCAACAAAGAAGAAGGUCCUCAAACAUUUCUCAAAGUAACAUAUGAAAAACAAGGGAAGCAUGCCCUUCAUAUCAAAUGUACCCAAAAAUCUUCCACUUAGAUACUGUUUACAUACAAAAAUUUACCACGUGCAUUGCACGUGCAAUUCAACUAGUAAGAUACAAAUACAAGGGUGGUUGGUAAGGAGAUUACAUUGUGCAUAUAUGUCAAAAUCGACUAUGGAUACUGAUCAAUUGAAAUAACAACAUAUAAAGAUAAAAUGUAGAGAUGAGGACAACAUAUAAGAUUAGAAAAAUAUAUAUAUCAUGCUAGACAAAAACCUACUUAAAUGUAACAAAAUUUCUCAAAUCAGAGUCCAAGCACAUUUUUGACAUAU